This 638-nucleotide ribosomal RNA is filed under the name uncultured prokaryote. Its description in RNAcentral is "bacterial SSU rRNA". It matches the Rfam family "Bacterial small subunit ribosomal RNA", at positions 43 to 666 of the family's 1533-position model. The record is from RNAcentral.
CGGCCUAAUACAUGCAGUCGAGCGAAUGAUGAGGAGCUUGCUCCUCUGAUUUAGCGGCGGACGGGUGAGUAACACGUGGGUAAUCUGCCUGUAAGACGGGGAUAACUCCGGGAAACCGGGGCUAAUACCGGAUAAUAAAAAGAAACGCAUGUUUCUUUUUUGAAAGUCGGUUUCGGCUGACACUUACAGAUGAGCCCGCGGCGCAUUAGCUAGUUGGUGAGGUAACGGCUCACCAAGGCGACGAUGCGUAGCCGACCUGAGAGGGUGAUCGGCCACACUGGGACUGAGACACGGCCCAGACUCCUACGGGAGGCAGCAGUAGGGAAUCUUCGGCAAUGGGCGAAAGCCUGACCGAGCAACGCCGCGUGAGCGAUGAAGGCCUUCGGGUCGUAAAGCUCUGUUGUUAGAGAAGAACAAGUACGAGAGUAACUGCUCGUACCUUGACGGGACCUAACCAGAAAGCCACGGCUAACUACGUGCCAGCAGCCGCGGUAAUACGUAUGUGGUAAGCGUUAUCCGGAAUUAUUGGGCGUAAAGCGCGCGCAGGCGGCCUCUUAAUUCUGAUGUGAAAGCCCACGGCUCAACCGUGGAGGGGUUUUGGAAACUGGGAGACUUGAUUGCAGGAGAGAAAUCCGCAA